GAUAGAGGGAUGUAUCAACAAUUCUUAGUUAAGAUAAUAACAUAUUUUAAUAUUGAAAAUGAGUAGACUAUUCCUUUAAGCCUAGUAUCUUUAGAACCCCAGUCAUGUUUUUGAAUGUUCGUGCAUCAUUUCCUGAGACAGGAGAAAUACAGAUUUCAGUGUUGCACUUUCUUCUUUCAAUGAUGUAAAAAUCAUCAUUUUGCAUCAUUGAAAGAAGGAAGUCCAAUAUCUUUGUUGAGGGGGUGAGACUACAAACACCCCUUUUUCAGUCAAAUAGGCACCAAAUUCGAAAUGUAUGUUACAUUUCCACUACAAAUAUGAGACACUUUCAAUAAAGAUUAAUGUUUCUACGGGUGAAAUGGUCCAUUAAAGCAGUGGUUCUCAAUCUUGUUCCUGGGGACCCACUGCUCUGCACAUUUUGUAUGUCUCUCUAACCUGACACACUUUGCUUAGUUCAUGGAGCUCUCAUCUAAUGAGCUGAUGAUUAGAGUCAGGUGUGUUAGAUAAGGAAUACAUACAAAAUGUGCAGAGCAGGGGGUCCCCAGGAACAGGAUUGAGAACCACUGCAUUAAAGGAUAAUUCUGCCAUUUAACACUUUGAGUCUCAUUUCCAAGAGAAGUCAAUGGAACUUUACAAAAUGCCAAAUAAAACACGACAGAAACUGUAUUUUGCUACACUACUUGUUUUUAAUCAUCAACGAAAACCACAAACCACUCGGUUUUAAAAAUGAACGUUAAGUGUUGUUUUAAUGACAUGCUUGUGCAUGGCCCUUGACCUCCAUUCUGAAGCAGUCAAGAGACGCUUCUAAACAAGUCAAAAAGUCAAGACAUGACCCAUUGUCAAAAUUUCAGUGACCAACACUGUAGUUCAUCCAAAACAAACCAGAAAUGAGACUCAAAGUGUUUAAUACCGGAAUUAUUCUUUAAGAAUUUUUUCUUUAACAAAGCAUUCACAUAUUUUGACUAGUAUAUUAUACUUAUCUCGCAAAAGUUAGCUUGUACAGAACAAAGCAUUCACAUAACUUGUCUAGGUAAUUUACUAAUGCCGCAAUAGCUAGCCUGUCUGGAACCGAGCAUAUAUUAAAACACAACACUGUGUAACACUUGCAUUACAUGUGAAUGGCCCCUACACUAAUAGGAUUUUGUUUCUCUCUCCCUGUCUCGUCCUCAAACCCGAGGACAUUGAGACAAACGGACCAGUUCCGGCUGCCGUGGAGGUCAACACACCACUGAUCUACUGGCUGCCCUUCAACGUGAUGCCCAGCCGAUGCCUGACUACCGACGGAACCCGCUAAAUCUCCUUAUCCGUUUACAUCCCAUAUAUAUAUGUAUGCAGUGAGGGAGUGAUUUCCCAACAUUGAGGUGGCAGAGAUCCGGGACCUUCUACGGAGGAAGUGCAACAAUGCCAGUUACAAGGCCUCCAGUAGUUCAAAUCAGAGCUAGAUGUGCAUAUAGUACAAGUUGUUCGCAAUUGUUCUCUUCCCGGCAUUUCAAAGAAAGUCGACUGUUUAAGGUUCCCAUUUUGCCAAUAUCUGUUUUGUGUGUUACUUUUGUGUCAAUAAUAAAGAUCCUUUUUUGAAAUGCA
Long non-coding RNA from Paramisgurnus dabryanus, 1584 nucleotides. RefSeq lists it as uncharacterized. Lineage: Eukaryota; Metazoa; Chordata; Actinopteri; Cypriniformes; Cobitidae. The record is from RefSeq and is a predicted model, not a curated record.